Molecule: unclassified non-coding RNA, 220 nt
Filed under: Hevea brasiliensis (rubber tree)
Lineage: Eukaryota; Viridiplantae; Streptophyta; Magnoliopsida; Malpighiales; Euphorbiaceae
Source: RNAcentral
GUGAUUAUAAGACCAGAUGCUUGGUUUUUCUGUUGGAAGAGUUUACUUGUGCUUAUGGCUUGUGUCUCUUAUGUGGCUCUCUCUUUAGCUGUCUACAUUGUUGAACUUGGUGGGUAGAAUACAAUGCUUAGGUGUUGAGCGAAAUGUUUGAUAGUGGCAUUAACUAAUAACCUGUGGGUUCCUUAAUACAAAAAAACCAAGCAUCUGGUCUUAUAAUCAC